Molecule: long non-coding RNA, 1843 nt
Organism: Numida meleagris (helmeted guineafowl)
Lineage: Eukaryota; Metazoa; Chordata; Aves; Galliformes; Numididae
Source: Ensembl
GCCAUUUCCUAUUAAAAUCGCCACAGCCUCUCAAUGUGGCAACAGAGACCUCACUGAACUUAGGAGUUUCACACAGGCAUAGCAGACUCCUUAAGUCUAUCUAGAUACCUUACCAGAGACCAUCUUUAAAUAUGAGUUCAACACCUUGUGCAGUGGUGCUAGUAUAUAAGAGGAGUGCCAAUGCUCAGGAGUGAUGUAAAAAAAUAAUGUGUACUACUCCAAGGAGAUCAAUUCAAAAGCCCACACUCCAGCUACCAGUCCAUCUUCCAAAAAACUGAAUAAGUAGUGGAAAAACUAACAUGCAAUUUUUAGAUACGCAAGAAUUAAGAACAUAGAGGAUAUAAGAGUGUCCAAUAGAAUCAUAGAAUCAUAGAAUUACCUAGAUUGGAAAAGACCUACAAGAUCAUCCAGUCCAACCAUCCACCUACCACCAAGAACCCCACUAAACCAUGUCUCUCAACGCUAUAUCUAAAUGUUUCUUGAACACCUCCAGGGACAGUGACUCAACCACCUCCCUGGGCAGCCCAUUCCAGCGCCUGACCACUCUUUCAGAAAAGUAGUAUUUCCUAAUGUCCAGCCUAAAUCUACCCUGGUGCAACUUGAGGCCAUUCCUCCUCGUCCUGUCACUAGUUACAAGAGAGAAGAGGCCGACCCCCCCAGCUCACUACAACCUCCCUUCAGGUAGUUAUAGAGAGCGAUAAGGUCUCCCCUGAGCUUCCUCCAGACUGAACAAUCCCAGCUCCCUCAGCCGCUCCUCAUAAGGCCUGUGCACCAGACCCCUCACCAGCUUCAUCGCCCUCCUCUGAACACGCUCCAGGGCCUCAAUGUCUUUCUUGCAGUGAGGGGCCCAAAACUGGACACAGUACUCGAGGUGCGGCCUCACCAGGGCUGAGUACAGAGGGACAAUCACUUCCCUACUCCUACUGGCAACACUAUUUCUGAUACAAGCCAGGAUGCCAUUGGCCUUCUUGGCCACCUGGGCACACUGCUGGCUCAUGCUCAGCCAAGCAUCGACCAAUACCCCCAGGUCCGUUUCCUCCACACAACCUUCCAGCCACUCUGCCCCAAGCCUGUAGCAUUGCCUGGGGCUGUUGCAGCCAAAGUGCAGGACCCGGCACUUGGUCUUGUUGAACCUCAUCCCACUGGCUUCAGCCCAGAGAUCCAGCCUGUCCAGAUCUCUCUGCAGGGCCUCUCUACCCCCAGGCAGAUUGACACUUCCUGCCAGCUUGGUGUCGUCUGCAAACUUACUGAGGGUGCUCUCAAUGCCCUCAUCCAGGUCAUCAAUAAAGAUAUUGAAAAGGACAGGCCCCAGCACCGAUCCCUGGGGAACACCACUCGUGACCAGUCGCCAGCUGGAUUUAACUCCAUUCACCAAAUAGAACAGAGUAACUCGACUGAUGCAAGGCACAAGCAUGACUUCAGCUUACUUGUGGAGCAGAGGUAUUUCUGAAGACAGGCAAAGGCAGAACAGGAACCAGCUGCAGAGCUGCGGGGAUCAGGAGGCUGCUUUGCCACUCUCUUGUUCCCAGCAGUAGGAUGAGCCUAUGACAUUCGUAGUCAAUAUUUGCAGUGCCAAGCUUUGUAAAUUCGCCUCGGGUGAGAGCUGUGCUAAAGGGGUCGGUCAUGUGCUGCCUGCCUGGUCUAUGCUAUGCAGAGAGCGCUGGGAGCAUCAGCCUCAAUAGCAGGAGGGCACUUUGUUUGCAGGGACCCACUCCUUGUUCUCAGCUACACACUCUGCUCUCAUGCCUCCAUCCAUCGAACCCGAAUCCAAUGCCUUCUCCCAGCAGCACAUGGAAGGGACAAUUGAAACAGCAAAUAAAGUUUGCUUUCUUGAUGCUGGACA